This is a non-coding RNA of Salvelinus sp. IW2-2015, 3646 nucleotides long. The record is from RefSeq and is a predicted model, not a curated record. Lineage: Eukaryota; Metazoa; Chordata; Actinopteri; Salmoniformes; Salmonidae.
UGUCGUCCAUAUUGAAAAUCUUAGUUAAUCUUUGCUAAAAUUGUAGACAAUGACUGACACCAUCGAUAAUUUAGCUUCGCCGUCUUUGGCGCCAUUUCUAUUUAUUUUCUAAUUGUCAGUAGAAAGGGUGCCAAAGACGGCGAAGCUAAAUAAUCGACGGUGUCAGUCAUUAGGGCACAUUUACACCUCAUUAACACUAUUUCCGGCAAUAAAACACUUUCAACCUAAUCAAAGUUCAAGUGUUUUCAACUGAAUGGCCGUUUUGUGCAGUUAUUAACUGCCAACAGUCAACGUUAUCUAGUUAAAAUUAGCAUGUUAACUUGGUUUGCCAACUUUUAAAUUAAAACAAACGUUACCUUGCUAAGGAGAAAGGUAGACGGGUAUAAACAAAUGAACAUUACCUUUUAAAUACUGUGGUUGAUCUCUGAUCCAUGCCAGGAUGCGUGUCACUACUUUGUGUUGGCCUACACGUCGUCAGGAGAGGACGAGAAACCACAUUGAACACUUACUUGAAGGCACCCGAACAGAUGAACAGCCAUCGGAGGAAAACCAAGUACAACCGCAACAAGACAACAUUCAACCCGAUCAGCUCCUAGCGAACUCUUGCAUCAGUGAUCAGCAACUCCAUACAUCUGACUCAGAUGAAGGGCAAAGGGGCAUUGACAAACAUGAAGCUGUCACAGUGCAACAAGAUCUGACAACACAUGCCACUGCUUUUGUGAUAAAUGCCAGAGCCAAGCAUCGUCUCACACAGAAAGGUGUGAAUGACAUUGUCGCUGGGGUACAGCAGUAUCAAUCAUCACUAUUGGACAACCUCAGGAGGCAGAUGGAGGCAGUGCUAAAGAAGCAUUCAGGAAGCACAUCAGGUCAACUUGGAAAAUGGUGCAAUGGAUAUGUUUGACAAUAUCAUUGACCCUUUUGCUGGCGUUGCAACACCAUUUAGACAGGACAGUGUUAUUAAGAAGCAGUUUAGGUGUUUGGACGCAGAGGAAAUUCAAAUCGCUCGAACCACAGGCAAGAUGAAAUGUGGAGGAUCAAAAUACUUUUUCUUCAAAGACAAAUUAUUUUAUUAUGUACCAUUUAGUCAAAAGUCUAGAACAGUUCUUAUCACACCCAAGGAUUUUGUCUGUGGUUGAAAAGGGACCUCYGAUGUGCAGGGYAAYUUGUUUUCAUGACAUUGUUGAUGGUGCUCUUCUAAAAUCACAUCCCUUAUUUUUCAGAGAAACCAAAGGCAUUGCAGAUUGUUCUGUACACGGAUGAAAUGGAGAUCUGUAAUCCACUAGGAUCCUUUGCAUCCCCCAAAAAACAAGUUGUUAAUGGUGUACUACACCCUAGGAAAUAUAAAUCCAAAAUACAGGUCUAAACUGGCUGCUAUCAGGCUACUUUGGCAUGGCUAGAUCAGCAGACCUCCGUCAAUCUGGUGUAGAUAGAAUCAGGAAAGACAUGGAUGCAUUGUACAGUGGGGUUAAAAUGCUAACUAUUAACGGAGAAAACGAUAUAUGGUGCGAUGUUCUCUCUGUGGAGACACCCUGACACAACAUGAACUAGCAGGGUUCAAAGAGGGUGUGGGGCUUUGCCUACAGUAAGUGCAGACACUGAGUGUUAUUUUGAGGACAUGCAGUCACUCUUCAAUGAGGAUACAUAUACUAAAAGGACAUGGGAGAAGCAUGUCAGACAGUGUGAUGAAAUAGAAAAGGUACAGACUGACUUGCUUCGCAACAACCUGAGAACAACAAAUGGGAUCAAUAGAAGGAGCAACUUAGUUGAAUUCCCAGCCUUUGAUAUCAUACAACAAACUUCGCAAGACAUUAUGCAUGUAAUUCUGGAGGGCGUAGCCCCAUUGGAAAUCAAAUGUGUUUUGAAUCAUCUUGUUGUGUCAGGACAGAUUGAUCUGGACUCAGUGAAUUCUGCUAUUCUUGGUUUCCCUUAUUCCCCUCUAGAUGUUAGAGAUCGGCCYUCCRCAAUUUCUGUUAGUACAUUCAUGUCAAGUGAUGGUAAACUAAAACAGUCAUCUGGGCAAAUGCUUGUCCUGCUAAGGAUAUUGCCAUUUGUUUUGGAGACUUUGGAAGUCAAUGCAUAUAUARACAAGACUGAUAAUUGAGCUAAUAGAGAUUGUACAGYUGGUAUUUGCACAUGUUCUUUCCAUUGCGACUGUGUCUACGUUAAAGUUUAAUCUGAAACAUUGGACGGAGCUUUUUCUAGACCGCAUCGUUACACCUAAACAGCAUUACAUGAUACAUUUGCCAUCACGGAUAAAGUCAUUGGGUCCAAUGGUUAGACAUAUGUGUAUGUGGUUCGAGUCUAAACAAUUUUUCUUUAAACGAUGGGCUUCCAAGCUCAAUUUAAAAAAUAUUUGCAAGUAUUCGAUCAAUCAGAACCAAAUGUAUGAAAGCUGCCAAAAUGUUGACGGUUCAAUGCACCCAAUUGUUUCAAAUGAAAGGUAGAUGGGACCUGUAUCAGAGGAUAAAGAUCUACAAUAUUUAUGUGGAAAAUUGAGGGACUUCCUAGGUUUCAAUGAAGUAUCAGUCAAAUGGCUUGUAAUAAAUACAUAAUUCAGAAGGCCAUGUUCUUUGCCAAAGUACUGAAUGGUAAUAUGCCAGAAUUUGGACUGGUCAAAAACAUAUUUUUUGGUUGAUUCUAGGCUUUAUUGUUCUAUACGCUUUGAUAGAAACGUGGUGGCUUAUCAAGUUGAGGUCCCACACCUUGCACAGGCCACUGAGUUAGUGGAUGCUGAAAAGCUGUUUGAUUUUUUUUUUUACCUCUUAUUACACAAUUAGCAACAAGAGCCAAACGUAUGUACAAGUUAAAUACCAUCUUGGGGAUGUAAUAGAAUUGUUCAACAGUUCAAAUGACUGUGUUCCCCAGAUAUGAAAAGUGUACUGUCUUUGUUCUGUAUUUUGUCUACAUGAUUGCUGUGUGUAAGAUUGACAAUAAAACAGUGAAUUCCAUUUGGUCAUUAUCUGUUCUUAAUAUGUGAAGAGAUGAAAUAAUGACUGACAAAGCAGUUUUGUACUUGUCAGUGUUGAUCAAACAGCUUUGUAAUUCUAAUUUCGAGCAUUAAGUUACUCGGGAACCACUAAAUAAAACUAACAAGUUGUAUUAUCUUAAGAUAAUUAAGGACAAAAAAGCUUGAAACUAGUGAAAUGCURUAACAUUAAAAACUGCCUGGUAAGAAGAAAUAUCUUGUCAGAAAAAUCAAGCAUAUUGCCUUUUGAUUUAAUCUUACUUUUGCAGCCAGGCAUGUGUGUUGUGACUGCGUGUGUGACAAAGAAAAUCGUUUUUUGUGUCGUAUAAAGGGGAAAUGCGUGCAUUUCAGCAUUUGAGUCACUUUUCAAAAGUUGCUAAAAGUUCCAAAUACAUUUUAAAAGUAGCUAAAUGUGUUGCUAGGUGCUGUUUGGAAAAAAAAUAGUUGCCAGGGUUGUCUGAAAAGUUACUAAAUCUAGCAACAAAAGUGCUAAGUUGGCAUCACUGAAUGUAGGGUAUGUAAACAUGAUAUAAAGUGGCAUUGUUUGUAGUGAUACAUUUAUUACAUCUAAUUAUUCAAGUGGCUAGAGAUAUUAGAUGUGGUUGAGCUGCCUUACUGUCAUAAGGAGUAGGAAAUUGUGUUAUUAGCUGUGGUUGUGAGUGUUAUGUCUUGGUCCUUUCC